Megachile rotundata (alfalfa leafcutting bee) is the source of this 191-nucleotide long non-coding RNA. The record is from RefSeq and is a predicted model, not a curated record. NCBI's taxonomy places the organism in Eukaryota, Metazoa, Arthropoda, Insecta, Hymenoptera, Megachilidae.
AUGUGUCUGAAACGGGAGAAUCGAACGUGAAGCUGAAGCGAUGGAUGACCUAUCCUGUUUAAAUGAUUAUUCACAUAUUUUUUGCAACAGCGUGUAUCUGUCUACUUGUGGCUUGACGUUCACUUUCUCGACAGCGUUCUUUUCCAGCCACGUAACAUCGAUCUCACAGUCAAAGUGACCAAUAUUACAAA